RNAcentral lists this ribosomal RNA (253 nucleotides) under uncultured bacterium. RNAcentral describes it as "partial 16S ribosomal RNA". It matches the Rfam family "Bacterial small subunit ribosomal RNA", at positions 524 to 776 of the family's 1533-position model. The record is from RNAcentral.
UACGUAGGGCGCAAGCGUUAUCCGGAAUUAUUGGGCGUAAAGAGCUCGUAGGCGGUUUGUCGCGUCUGCCGUGAAAGCCCCGGGCUCAACCUGGGAAUGGCAAUGGAAACUGGCGAGCUUGAGUGUGGCAGAGGGGGGUGGAAUUCCGCGUGUAGCAGUGAAAUGCGUAGAGAUGCGGAGGAACACCGAUGGCGAAGGCAGCCCCCUGGGCCAACACUGACGCUCAGGCACGAAAGCGUGGGGAGCAAACAGG